UGACGUUGGGAAAGCGAGCGGCGGAUGGGUGAGUAACACGUGGGGAACCUGCCCCUAAGUCUGGGAUACCAUUUGGAAACAGGUGCUAAUACCGGAUAAUAAAGCAGAUCGCAUGAUCAGCUUUUGAAAGGCGGCGUAAGCUGUCGCUAAGGGAUGGCCCCGCGGCGCAUUAGCUAGUUGGUAAGGUAACGGCUUACCAAGGCGACGAUGCAUAGCCGAGUUGAGAGACUGAUCGGCCACAUUGGGACUGAGACACGGCCCAAACUCCUACGGGAGGCAGCAGUAGGGAAUCUUCCACAAUGGACGCAAGUCUGAUGGAGCAACGCCGCGUGAGUGAAGAAGGUUUUCGGAUCGUAAAGCUCUGUUGUUGGUGAAGAAGGAUAGAGGUAGUAACUGGCCUUUAUUUGACGGUAAUCAACCAGAAAGUCACGGCUAACUACGUGCCAGCAGCCGCGGUAAUACGUAGGUGGCAAGCGUUGUCCGGAUUUAUUGGGCGUAAAGCGAGCGCAGGCGGAAAAAUAAGUCUAAUGUGAAAGCCCUCGGCUUAACCGAGGAACUGCAUCGGAAACUGUUUUUCUUGAGUGCAGAAGAGGAGAGUGGAACUCCAUGUGUAGCGGUGGAAUGCGUAGAUAUAUGGAAGAACACCAGUGGCGAAGGCGGCUCUCUGGUCUGCAACUGACGCUGAGGCUCGAAAGCAUGGGUAGCGAACAGGAUUAGAUACCCUGGUAGUCCAUGCCGUAAACGAUGAGUGCUAAGUGUUGGGAGGUUUCCGCCUCUCAGUGCUGCAGCUAACGCAUUAAGCACUCCGCCUGGGGAGUACGACCGCAAGGUUGAAACUCAAAGGAAUUGACGGGGGCCCGCACAAGCGGUGGAGCAUGUGGUUU
RNAcentral lists this ribosomal RNA (884 nucleotides) under uncultured bacterium. RNAcentral's name for it is "bacterial SSU rRNA". It matches the Rfam family "Bacterial small subunit ribosomal RNA", at positions 78 to 947 of the family's 1533-position model. The record is from RNAcentral.